UACAGAGGUCUCAAGCGUUGUUCGGAUUCAUUGGGCGUAAAGGGUGCGUAGGCGGCGCGGUAAGUCGGGUGUGAAAUCUCGGAGCUUAACUCCGAAACUGCAUUCGAUACUGCCGUGCUUGAGGACUGGAGAGGAGACUGGAAUUUACGGUGUAGCGGUGAAAUGCGUAGAUAUCGUAAGGAAGACCAGUGGCGAAGGCGGCGACCUGGGUUGACAUUGACGCUGAGGCGCGAAAGCUAGGGGAGCAAACAGG
This 253-nucleotide ribosomal RNA is filed under the name uncultured bacterium. RNAcentral describes it as "partial 16S ribosomal RNA". It matches the Rfam family "Bacterial small subunit ribosomal RNA", at positions 524 to 776 of the family's 1533-position model. The record is from RNAcentral.